AUAUGGUAGGAGAGCGUUCUGUAAGCCUGCGAAGGUGUCUUGUAAAGGAUGCUGGAGGUAUCAGAAGUGCGAAUGCUGACAUGAGUAGCGAUAAUGGGGGUGAAAAGCCUCCACGCCGUAAGCCCAAGGUUUCCUGUUCAACGUUCAUCGGAGCAGGGUGAGUCGGCCCCUAAGGCGAGGCAGAGAUGCGUAGCUGAUGGGAAGCAGGUUAAUAUUCCUGCACCGUCGUAUGAUGCGAUGGGGGGACGGAUCGCGGAAGGUUGUCCGGGUGUUGGAUGUCCCGGUUCUUGACUCAUAGAAGGCGCUUAGGCAAAUCCGGGCGCGGAAUUCAAGGGGUUGAGACCAGAAACCUAGGUUUCGAAGCAAUCGGAAGUGGUUCCAAGAAAAGCCUCUAAGCUUCAGUCAUACGAGACCGUACCGCAAACCGACACAGGUGGGCGAGAUGAGUAUUCUAAGGCGCUUGAGAGAACUCGGGAGAAGGAACUCGGCAAAUUGGUACCGUAACUUCGGGAAAAGGUACGCCCCGGUAGCUUGAUUGGUUUACUCCAUGAGGGUGAAAGGGUUGCAAUAAACUGGUGGCUGCGACUGUUUAAUAAAAACACAGCACUCUGCAAACACGAAAGUGGACGUAUAGGGUGUGACGCCUGCCCGGUGCUGGAAGAUUAAAUGAUGGGGUGCAAGCUCUUGAUUGAAGUCCCAGUAAACGGCGGCCGUAACUAUAACGGUCCUAAGGUAGCGAAAUUCCUUGUCGGGUAAGUUCCGACCUGCACGAAUGGCGUAACGAUGGCCACACUGUCUCCUCCCGAGACUCAGCGAAGUUGAAAUGUUUGUGAUGAUGCAAUCUACCCGCGGCUAGACGGAAAGACCCCAUGAACCUUUACUGUAGCUUUGCAUUGGACUUUGAACCAAUCUGUGUAGGAUAGGUGGGAGGCUUUGAAGCGGUGACGCCAGUCAUCGUGGAGCCAACCUUGAAAUACCACCCUGGUUUGUUUGAGGUUCUAACCUUGGUCCGUUAUCCGGAUCGGGGACAGUGCAUGGUAGGCAGUUUGACUGGGGCGGUCUCCUCCUAAAGUGUAACGGAGGAGUUCGAAGGUACGCUAGAUACGGUCGGACAUCGUGUUGAUAGUGCAAUGGCAUAAGCGUGCUUAACUGCGAGACUGACAAGUCGAGCAGGUACGAAAGUAGGACAUAGUGAUCCGGUGGUUCUGUAUGGAAGGGCCAUCGCUCAACGGAUAAAAGGUACUCUGGGGAUAACAGGCUGAUUCCUCCCAAGAGUUCAUAUCGACGGGGGAGUUUGGCACCUCGAUGUCGGCUCAUCACAUCCUGGGGCUGUAGCCGGUCCCAAGGGUAUGGCUGUUCGCCAUUUAAAGUGGUACGUGAGCUGGGUUUAAAACGUCGUGAGACAGUUUGGUCCCUAUCUGCCGUGGGCGUUGGAAAUUUGAAGGGGGCUGCUCCUAGUACGAGAGGACCGGAGUGGACAGACCUCUGGUGUACCGGUUGUCACGCCAGUGGCAUUGCCGGGUAGCUAAGUCUGGAAGAGAUAACCGCUGAAAGCAUCUAAGCGGGAAACUUGCCUUGAGAUGAGAUUUCCCAGAGCCUUGAGCUCUUUAAAGGGUCGUUCGAGACCAGGACGUUGAUAGGUCAGGUGUGGAAGUGCAGUAAUGCAUUAAGCUAACUGAUACUAAUUGCCCGUACGGCUUGUCCCUAUAACCUUAGCAGGU
RNAcentral lists this ribosomal RNA (1721 nucleotides) under Massilia eurypsychrophila. Its description in RNAcentral is "bacterial LSU rRNA". It matches the Rfam family "Bacterial large subunit ribosomal RNA", at positions 1223 to 2925 of the family's 2925-position model. Lineage: Bacteria; Pseudomonadati; Pseudomonadota; Betaproteobacteria; Burkholderiales; Oxalobacteraceae. The record is from RNAcentral.